CCUACGGGGGGCAGCAGUGGGGGAUAUUGCACAAUGGGGGAAACCCUGAUGCAGCGACGCCGCGUGGGUGAAGAAGGAUUUCGGUAUGUAAAGCCCUAUCAGCAGGGAGGAAAGAAGACGGUACCUGACUAAGAAGCCUCGGCUAACAACGUGCAAGCAGCAGCGGUAAAACGUAGGGGGGGAGCGUCAUCCGGAUUCACGGGGUGUAAGGGGAGCGGAGGCGGCCGUGCAAGCCAGGAGUGAAAGCCCGGGGCCUAACCCCGGUAAUGCUCUUGGAACUGGGCGGCUGGAGUGCUGGAGGGGCAGGUGGAAUUCCUGGUGUAGCGGUGAAAUGCGUAGAGAUCAGGAGGAACACCGACGGCGAAGGCGGCCUGCUGGACCUCGACUGACGUUGAGGCUCGAAAGCGUGGGGAGCGAACAGGAUUAGAUACCCCAGUAGUC
This 441-nucleotide ribosomal RNA is filed under the name uncultured bacterium. RNAcentral describes it as "partial 16S ribosomal RNA". It matches the Rfam family "Bacterial small subunit ribosomal RNA", at positions 338 to 795 of the family's 1533-position model. The record is from RNAcentral.